RNAcentral lists this ribosomal RNA (494 nucleotides) under uncultured bacterium. Its description in RNAcentral is "SSU rRNA". It matches the Rfam family "Bacterial small subunit ribosomal RNA", at positions 26 to 521 of the family's 1533-position model. The record is from RNAcentral.
AGGACGAACGCUGGCGGCGUGCUUAACACAUGCAAGUGGAGCGACGAACCAGGGCUUGCCCUGGGGCAGAGCCGCGAACGGGUGAGUAACACGUGGGUUACCUGCCUCGAUGUCCGGGACAACCCGAGGAAACUCGGGCUAAUACCGGAUGUGCCCGCAAGGGGAAAGGAAGCUUCGGCCUCCGCAUCGAGAUGGGCCCGCGGCCCAUUAGCUUGUUGGUGAGGUAACGGCUCACCAAGGCUUCGAUGGGUAGCUGGUCUGAGAGGACGAUCAGCCACACUGGGACUGAGACACGGCCCAGACUCCUACGGGAGGCAGCAGUGGGGAAUCUUGCGCAAUGCGCGAAAGCGUGACGCAGCAACGCCGCGUGGGGGAGAAGGCUUUCGGGUUGUAAACCCCUUUCAGUUGGGACGAAGCUUCUCCGGUGAAUAGCCGGACGGAGUGACGGUACCUUCACAAGAAGCACCGGCUAACUACGCGCCAGCAGCCGCGGU